RNAcentral lists this microRNA precursor (116 nucleotides) under Marmota monax (woodchuck). Lineage: Eukaryota; Metazoa; Chordata; Mammalia; Rodentia; Sciuridae. The record is from RNAcentral.
UCUCUCUCUCUCUCUCUCUCUCUCUCUCUCUCUCUCUCUCUGUGUGUGUGUGUGUGUGUGUGUGUGUGUGUGAGAGAGAGAGAGAGAGAGAGAGAGAGAGAGAGAGGAGAGAGAGA